GCAGGGGCGAGAGGGAUUCAGUGAAUCCAAGAGGAGGAAGCUUGAGAGGACAUGUGGGUGAAACCAGACAAAUAAGGUGGAGGGAGCAGGAUGCUGGCUGGAGAGGCCCCCCAACACCCGCCCCUGCAGCACUGCAGAGAACCCAAACCCACUGCUGGAAGGAGCCCCCAGCUCGGCCAAUGGCUCCCAUUUUACACACGCAAAUGCUGAGACCCAGCGUGAGCAAAUGGCUCCACCAAGGUCACUCAGCAAGCCGGUGGCCAAGACGGGAUUCGAAAUUCCAUCACGUGACUCCUGGCCCAUCUUGUUCCCAUGCCUGCAGCCAGCCCUGACCCACCUUAGGUGGUGAAGACCUCCCUCAUCGAGCCUGGCCUAGGCUGUCUCCUAAGGCCUCAGAAGACUUCAAGUUCCUCCCAACCCCAACAGCUUGGUAUCCUUCAACCACAGAGACUGUCCAGCUCCCUGAACCUCUCAACUCCCAUCCCUGUAGAGAAGCCUACAAAGAAGUGAGUCCUACUUCAAAAAUCAAUGCACAGAGAGGGUUGGCAACUGCCUGGAGGUCACACAGCAAAGUCAUGGAGCUCCAAAAUUCAAUGUCUUCACCUGAGACCAUUCCUGAGCCCCGCUACCCCUGCCCAGGAACUUCCUCCAACAGCCUGAAGGACAGGGAGAGCAGCCAGCCCCGCUGACCGAUGUCCAAGACCGCAGUGAUGCUAUUCCUUCCUCGAGUGAGCUCUGCCCACCCUGUGCCAGAUUUAGCCAUUUAAUGCAACCAGACCUGCUCCGUCCCUGCCUCUGAGAUUAGCUCUGGACCGGGGCUUUGAAUGCCUGCCCAGAGACACUCAGCUUAAAACACCAGGAACCAAAAAAAAAAAAAAAUCGACCACAUUUAAUGGAGCCGUCAGCGGGCGGGUCUGAAUUGUCCAUUAUGUGACCCUACCCGCCUAGGGAGCCGAGCCAUGUGGCCACCUGACCACAGCAUUAAGGCGACAUCAGCCCGCAGGCCAGGCGGGGGUGGAGCUACCAGAGUCUUUGGCCUGGGGCGCCUGCCUCUCCAUCCUCAAGGCCCAGGGCCCCAGGGAUUCUUGGUGCCACUCAACAGGCAGGAAGGCAGCAGCUCUCAUUGGCUAAAUCUACCCCUUCUGGUCUCAGGGCCCCACUCCUAGAUACGCCCUGCGUAUGUCUCUAUGGCCUGAGACUCCCUCUGUUGCAGAAGUCGAGAGAGCAUCAGUGUCUGUCCCUCAAAUAGUGCCCUGGCUAAUGCCUGAUGUGCCACUAUUGUUGCCAUUUCCUUUUGCUAUUUAAAAAUUGCCAUUGUUAACAUCCAAGUUGCUCUAGACACUAUCUCCCAAAAUGUGUUCCAGGAAACAUUAAUCUCUCAAGAUGCAUAGAAAACAAAAAGAAGAGGGAGGGCUCCACAGUCAAGCAAGUUUAGGAAGCACUGCAAAUGCUAGUCCUCUUUUGGAGAGUUACAAGUCUAGCAAAGGCUCUGAGGAAUCCUGCAAUCGAGUUGGAGUUUCUUUAAUCCACUCCCCAGACUUACUUCAUUACAGAACCCUCCCCUUAUCUUGGCAGAGCAUCCAUUAAUAUGCUGAAAGCCUAGUAUACCAGGGAAAACCCUUUGGGAAAUGACAUUUUAGGGGUUUGAGUCCCUCUCCUUCCCCCAAGCCUCAACUGUGGUCAGAAGCUCCAAUUAUGAGGCUGGUCAAAGCCAGUGAAGAGAGGAAGGGUGACUCCAGCCUUCAGUGACAGGUGAAUGUAAGGGUCACAGUCACAGUCUCACCCAGAAUUGAGGAAGGGAACAUGGAUCCAUCCACGCCUAGAUGCAAGGAGGGCGUCAUGCCACAUGGUGAGAAGAGCAUGUGGGGUGCCCUCUAGCCCCCAUCCCACCCAACUCUGGUAGAGCAGCAACUUAGCCAUGGAAGAAAGUUCUAACACCCUUGUUAGAGCUGGCUCUCAGAAGCCCGAACACUGAAACCUCUGCUCCCUGAAGAUUUCUUCUGCAAAUUCACAGGCUGCCUAGUGUUCUGGCAGAAGCCCCAAGCAAGACAAUGCAGGCCUGGAUUCUGCUCCUGCUUUUCCUAGUGGCCUGCUAUGUGACCCACGGAAGGCCUUCAAUCUGUCUGUGCUGGUACCCACAGGUCCGAGCCCCAGGGACCUCACUGCAUGGACACGCAUCUUCUGCUGCUCUCCCAGGAAUAUUGGGCUGAUUGUGUGAGGUGUCCUGAGCUCCCACCACCCAAGGUUUAUGAAGCACCUUCUCUGUGUCAGCCCUGUGCAAGGUGCUAGAUCCUCAGUUUACCCCCUUCUGCAAAGCCAUGAUUGUCUUACUGAAGGCCAGUCUGUAGCUCCAGUCGCUCCAGUCUUCAAUGAAGAUAAGCAAUUUGGUAAACGUGGAUCUCCUGUGAGAGAAGAAAGCAACUGGGGCAUCAAAGCUCCUUUUAGGUAAAUUUUCCAGGGCCACAGAACUCAUGCAGAGUGACAGAUUGUAUUUCCAAAGAUGGCCACCACAACAAUUUCCAACCCAUGUGCUCUUCUCACACUGUGACAUGACCUCUGUUCCCUCCCUGGAUCCUGAGACAACGGUGGAAGACACACUACUUGACUUUGGAGGCUAGGUCAUAAAAAGCAACACAGCCUUCCCUUGGCCCUGUUGGGAUGCUCCAUUUUAGAACCCAGACACCAUGGUAUUAGGAAGCCCAGGCCACCUGGAGAGACUGCAUGUAACAGGCUGAGCUGAGGUCCAGGAGAUGCCAGCCUCAGACAUGAAUUUGAGAAAGGCUUCAAAAUGACAAUGACUCCAGCCCCAGCCGUAAUCUGACCACAACUGCAGGAGAAACCUGAGCAAGAACUGACUGGCUGAGCCCCGCCAACACCCAGAAAAGAGAGAUAAUAAUAAAAUGAUUGUCAUUGCCUUAAUUUGCCUGAAUGGGGGAGUGAUAUUUUGUGAGCAGUAGACACUAGGAAUAUGUGGCAAGAAGCUUCUUGCAAAUCACCUUUGCAGGAUUGAGGAGGGCCUGUCACACCCUGGAGUGUCCCUCCCUCUAUUCUAUCCUUUGCUGAACCAAAGGAUGCACACAGCUCUCUGUAACAUGAUAACAGUCCACACCAACUGGCUGAAACAUUGGAAAGCCCGUGUCCCUAUGAGGUCUGGGCUACGAGGAGUGCUGUUGGCCUCAGCCCCUACAACUCCUGUUAAAACUUAUUUCCUGAAAACAGGAAAUCUGAAUCAAGUAUGGACUUCAGUUAAUACCAAUACAUCAAUGCUGAUUAAGUAAUCAUGA
Molecule: long non-coding RNA, 3284 nt
Filed under: Homo sapiens (human)
Lineage: Eukaryota; Metazoa; Chordata; Mammalia; Primates; Hominidae
Description: HSALNT0003403
Source: RNAcentral